Molecule: transfer RNA, 74 nt
Filed under: Parcubacteria group bacterium CG1_02_40_82
Lineage: Bacteria
Also listed under: 4 other names
Description: tRNA-Gln
Rfam family: tRNA
About the family: Transfer RNA (tRNA) molecules are approximately 80 nucleotides in length.
Source: RNAcentral
UGGGGAGUCGUCUAAUGGUAGGACUCAUCCCUUUGAAGGAUGCUAUCUAGGUCCGAAUCCUAGCUCCCCAGCCG